This 616-nucleotide unclassified non-coding RNA is filed under the name uncultured bacterium. RNAcentral's name for it is "partial contains 16S ribosomal RNA, 16S-23S ribosomal RNA intergenic spacer, and 23S ribosomal RNA". The stretch from base 124 to 197 matches the Rfam family "tRNA". The record is from RNAcentral.
GGGGUGAAGUCGUAACAAGGUAGCCGUAGGGGAACCUGCGGCUGGAUCACCUCNUUAAUCGAAGACUNCAGNUUCUUCAUAAGUUCCCACACGAAUUGCUUGAUUCCAUUGCGAAAGACGAUUGGGUCUGUAGCUCAGUUGGUUAGAGCGCACCCCUGAUAAGGGUGAGGUCGGCAGUUCGAAUCUGCCCAGACCCACCAAUUGUUGUGGGGUUUGGCCUUGUACGAAUAUGGGGCCAUAGCUCAGCUGGGAGAGCGCCUGCCUUGCACGCAGGAGGUCAGCGGUUCGAUCCCGCUUGGCUCCACCAUAUACAGCCGCGUUGAGAGUUCAGAAAUGAGCGUUCCUGCUAAGGCAGAUGAAUGUUGAUUUCUGGUCUUUGACCAGUAUGAAAAUCGUUCUUUAAAAAUUUGGGUAUGUGAUAGAAGUGACUGAUUGAUUACUUUCACUGGUAAUUAAUUUGGUCAAGGUAAAAUUUGUAGUUCUCAAUUGCAAAUUUUCGGCGAAUGUCGUCUUUACGUUAGAGACAGUAACCAGAUUGCUUGGGGUUAUAUGGUCAAGUGAAGAAGCGCAUACGGUGGAUGNCCUUGGCAGUCAGAGGCGAUGAAGGACGUGCUAA